RNAcentral lists this ribosomal RNA (465 nucleotides) under uncultured bacterium. RNAcentral's name for it is "partial 16S ribosomal RNA". It matches the Rfam family "Bacterial small subunit ribosomal RNA", at positions 28 to 507 of the family's 1533-position model. The record is from RNAcentral.
GACGAACGCUGGCGGCGUGCUUAACACAUGCAAGUCGAGCGAGGCCCCUCCUUCGGGAGGGUGUCCUAGCGGCGAACGGGUGAGUAACACGUGGGCAACCUGCCCUCAGCUCUGGGAUAACUCCGGGAAACGGGGGCUAAUACCGGACACGAUCUCCACGGACAUCUGCGGAGGUGGACAGCUUUUCGGCUGAGGAUGGGCCCGCGGCCUAUCAGCUAGUUGGUGGGGUAGUGGCCAACCACGGCGACGACGGGUAGCCGGCCUGGGAGGGCGAACAGCCCCACGGGGACUGAGAGAGGGCCCAGACUCCUACGUGAGGCAGUGGGGGGGAAUAUGGCGCAGUGGGGGAAAGCGUGACGCAGCGACGCCGGGGUUGGAACGAAGGCCUUCGGGUUGUAAACCUCUUUCAGCAGGGACGAAGCGAAAGUGACGGUACCUGCAGAAGAAGCACCGGCCAACUACGUG